Molecule: ribosomal RNA, 445 nt
Filed under: uncultured bacterium
Lineage: Bacteria
Description: partial 16S ribosomal RNA
Rfam family: Bacterial small subunit ribosomal RNA
Source: RNAcentral
GUAGGGAAUAUUGGGCAAUGGAUGCAAGUCUGACCCAGCCAUCCCGCGUGCCGGAAGAAGGCCCUCAGGGUUGUAAACGGCUUUUGACGGUGAAGAACCGACAGGAUGCGUCCUGUUUUGACGGUAGCCGUUGAAUAAGCACCGGCUAACUCCGUGCCAGCAGCCGCGGUAAUACGGAGGGUGCGAGCGUUGUCCGGAUUUAUUGGGUUUAAAGGGUGCGUAGGCUGGUAGGUCAGUCAGCGGUGAAAAGCUAUCGCUUGACGAUAGUCUUGCCGCAGAUACUUCCUUUCUUGGAUGAGGAGGAGGCCACUGGAACGGAUGGUGUAGCGGUGAAAUGCAUAGAUAUCAUCCAGAACACCGAUUGCGAAGGCAGGUGGCUGUACCUUAAUCGACGCUGAUGCACGAAAGCAUGGGGAGCAAACAGGAUUAGAAACCCUAGUAGUCC